AUUGAACGCUGGCGGCAGGCCUAACACAUGCAAGUCGAGCGAGUGGCGGACGGGUGAGUAAUGCUUGGGAAUCUAGCUUAUGGAGGGGGAUAACUACGGGAAACUGUAGCUAAUACCGCGUACCAUAGGAUGAGCCCCAGUGGGAUUAGGUAGUUGGUGAGGUAAAGGCUCACCAAGCCGACGAUCUCUAGCUGGUCUGAGAGGAUGACCAGCCACACUGGGACUGAGUCACGGCCCAGACUCCUACGGGAGGAAGCAGUGGGGAAUAUUGCGCAAUGGGGGCAACCUGACGCAGCCAUGCCGCGUGAAUGAAGAAGGCCUUCGGGUUGUAAAGUUCUUUCGGUAGCGAGGCGUUAACUACAGAAGAAGCACCGGCUAACUCCGUGUCAGCAGCCGCGGUAAUUC
Molecule: ribosomal RNA, 405 nt
Filed under: uncultured bacterium
Lineage: Bacteria
Description: partial 16S ribosomal RNA
Rfam family: Bacterial small subunit ribosomal RNA
Source: RNAcentral